Molecule: ribosomal RNA, 497 nt
Filed under: uncultured bacterium
Lineage: Bacteria
Description: partial 16S ribosomal RNA
Rfam family: Bacterial small subunit ribosomal RNA
Source: RNAcentral
GACGAACGCUGGCGGCGUGCCUAAUACAUGCAAGUUGAGCGAUGAAGAUUGGUGCUUGCACCAAUUUGAAGAGCAGCGAACGGGUGAGUAACGCGUGGGGAAUCUGCCUUUGAGCGGGGGACAACAUUUGGAAACGAAUGCUAAUACCGCAUAACACCUUUAAACAUAAGUUUUAAGUUUGAAAGAUGCAAUUGCAUCACUCAAAGAUGAUCCCGCGUUGUAUUAGCUAGUUGGUGAGGUAAAGGCUCACCAAGGCGAUGAUACAUAGCCGACCUGAGAGGGUGAUCGGCCACAUUGGGACUGGGACACGGCCCAAACUCCUACGGGAGGCAGCAGUAGGGAAUCUUCGGCAAUGGACGAAAGUCUGACCGAGCAACGCCGCGUGAGUGAAGAAGGUUUUCGGAUCGUAAAACUCUGUUGGUAGAGAAGAACGUUGGUGAGAGUGGAAAGCUCACCAAGUGACGGUAACUACCCAGAAAGGGACGGCUAACUACGUG